CUCUUUUCUUAAAGGAGCCUAAGUCGAAUUGAUUCAUUGGGCAUUCCACAUAGUGGUGGUGCGCAGCAAAAACUGCGUUAAGAAGCGCUCAGUAGUUGUUAUUUUUAUUUUGUUUCAACUGGUUUAAGUAUUUUAAUGCUAUCGUAUAGACGGGGAAACGAACAACAUAAGACAGACACAUAACAUAAACAUAUAUAUUUUCCUGGUACCCAAUACUGCGCUAAGUACGUGCGUUGAUUGAGCAAACCUAAACGUCAAAUCAAUGAUGGAUGGAAUUGAGUGUUACAGCCGUAAGUGUCAUAUGAGAACAUGUCAUGUCGAUCUGUUCCGCCAUGCACGAAAUGAAGAGCCCUGCUUUACAUUCUCGAUUGAUUGCACAGGAGAAGCCCGUUAGUAAAUGCGACCUGCUGCGCUCCUCUAUAAUUACACAGCCCCGAGCGACAUUUCCAAAGCUUUUGAAAACGAUAACACGGAAGCUGUUACGUAAACUUAAAAAAUAAAUGUGACAUUAUUUAAUAGCUCCUACUGAAGAAACGAACUUUCUAUGGAUUACGCAGAUUACCUGGAAAAUCACGGAAGAAAGAAAUCCAACCUCUUUUAUAAUAUACAUCAUUAUUUUAUUUAAAAAGAAUUUUAUUCAUGUCUAUGGUUACUUUUAAGUUUAUUGCAUGUACGGCUAUCGUUUUAUUGUGAUUG
Long non-coding RNA from Pieris brassicae (large cabbage white), 696 nucleotides. RefSeq lists it as uncharacterized. The transcript has 4 exons. Lineage: Eukaryota; Metazoa; Arthropoda; Insecta; Lepidoptera; Pieridae. The record is from RefSeq and is a predicted model, not a curated record.